RNAcentral lists this long non-coding RNA (9965 nucleotides) under Marmota monax (woodchuck). Lineage: Eukaryota; Metazoa; Chordata; Mammalia; Rodentia; Sciuridae. The record is from RNAcentral.
GCCUAAAACUUAAAAAUAAAUAAAUAUUAAAAAUUCCCUCCCCCCCCUUUAAAAAAAAAUAGUAAAUGAACUGGGGAUGUAUGUAGCUCAGUGGUAAAGCACUCCUGGGUUCAAUACCUGUUGUCAAAAAGAAAUGCAUCGUUAUUAAGAAAAAAUUUCUUCCAGAUCCUCAAAAUGAGCAGUAUCAGUUGGUGUAAAGCACUAGCUAAUUUAUUCUAUCAUGCCUUGAUUUCAUAAGUAGCUGUUUGGUCUUUAGUUGAAAUAGGACUACACUUGCCUUAGUUUUUGUUUUUAUUUUUUUAAAAUAUUUAUUUUUUUAGGUGUAGAUGGACACAACACAAUGCCUUUAUUUUUAUGUGGUGCUGAGGACCGAACCCAGGUUCCGCCCAUGCUAGGCAAGCACUCUACCACUGAGCCUCAGUCCCAGCCCCAGUUUUUGUUUUUAAACUGGAUAUUGAACCCAGGUGUGCUCUACCACGCUAGCCAUUUUUAUUUUUGAGACAAGGUUUUGCUAAAUUGCUGAGUCUGGCCUGGAACUUGCCAUCCUCCUGCCCCAACCUUCCCAGUUGCUGAGAUUAGCUAGUACAGGUGUGGGCUGUCUUACCUUAAUAUUUUUACUAUCAGAAUCUAAUCAAUCUACCUUCUAUAUUAAUGAUUUUAGUUUUAUAAAAAUUGACCACCAUAUUAUGGCUGUUACAGUGAAGUUAUUAAGAAAAAUACCACCUAUAUCCUUAAAAGGUCUCAUUCAUAGAUUGUGAGGAUUUAAAGCAAAAGAUGUAUGUACGUUUAAUAUAGUAGAAUUUGUCUUUACACAAUAAAGCCAUGAUUUUGUUGGCAAAUGUUUGCUGACAGAAUCACAUGGGCUUAAAAAAAAAACAAAACUGAUGACAUGGUUAGGUAAAUUUGGUGGGUUUUUUUGGAGGGUAGUUGUGAUGAUAAGAAUCUUCCCUAAUGUUAAAGGUGUUUUUUCCCAACACAGGCAGACUUUAAAAUAAUACCAAGAAUUCCUGGCAAGUAAAAUUCCAAGGAGCUGGGUGUGGUGGCUACUGAGGAAGUUGAGGGUCGCUUGAGCCCAGAAGUUCAAGGAUGUAGUGUGCUAUAUCAAAGCCAAUUGGGUGUCCUUACUAGGUUCAGCAUCAAUAUGGUAACCUCCUAGGAACAGGGACACUAGUAGGUUUGCAUGUGCUGGGCACUAGUGGGCUUAUGCCUGUGAGUAGCCACUGCACUCCAGUCUGGGCAACAUGGCAAUACCCCAGAAGUAAGGAGGUAGUAGUGGGAUGUGUACGUGGCCUAAAAAUUUGCAAUGCCACACUCUUAUUGUGGCCAUACACAAUUUUUUUUAAAGCAUUUCUGUUUUGGAAACAUUUCUUGGUAAUGUUUCCAUCUAAAACAAAGAUAUUUGUGUUUUAUUGUGGUUACUAUAACAUGAAAGAAAGUAUUCCUGAGAUAAGUUAUAUAUUUGGCAGACAUUUAGAUCAUAGCUUUAGAUUAUUUGAGAAUGAAAUUUCAGUAGUAACAAUUCAACUAUAAUCAAAAUGUGCAUGAACGUUAUUCAGGUAGUCUCUUAAAUUAUACCACCAAACUCAGGACGAAUAAGACCUAGAAACUAUCAUAUGAUUACAUGUCAAAAGCCAAGAAAGCUGGGGAAGAGUGUUAGGGAGAUUGUUUGUUUUAAAACUCCACAAAGUCAAGAAUAUAUCUUCUAGGCCUCUGAUGGCAGUGCUUAUCAAGCUAUAGCAGAGAACAUGACACUAUAGCCUAGGCUAUAGGCACUCUUUGGCCAUUAUACUGACUCCUUGAUAUUAGAAAAAGGAAAAUAAUUCUCCAACAGAAGUCCUGUUUUAAGUAUUGGGUGGUAAAAAGAAACAUCCCCAAAGAACAAUUAAAAGAUUGGAUUUGGAUAGAAUUACAAGUGACCGUCAACAUUUUCUAUAAUUUGUAAUGAGAAAAGCUGUUCCCAAAGUGGUGGUUAAACAUUGUAAUAAGGAGAGAAAUCCAUAGAGACUUCGGGAUAAUAGGCAGAGGUUAGCACAAAGGUGACAGUGUUCAUUUCUACUGCAUUCUUAGUUAAGUAAGCUUUUGUGGACCCUCUGGGAAUAUAACCACUAUUUCCAUGGGAAAAUAAAUUCCAGGUUCCAAACAACUAAUUUACAGUGAUUUUCUGGAUCAUAGCCCACUAAUAAGUUUGAACUUCCUGUGCUGUAACAUCUUUCCCAUGUCCUUAAAGACAACCAGAACUCACUAGUGAGAAUAGGGAAGUAAGUUACUCCUCAUUACAAUAAAAUAAGGAGUAACUAUCAACAUAGUCCAAAUAGCUUGAUUUAAACCCAGGGAAGAUAAUCAAAGACAUAAAGUUUUUAAAGGCAGUGGUAGUAAUUGAAAAUCUUUUUUUUUUUUUAAGAGAAACAGAGAGAAUUUUUUAAUAUUUAUUUUUUAGUUUUUGGCAGACACAACAUCUUUGUAUGUGGUGCUGAGGAUCGAACCCGGGCCGCACGCAUGCCAGGCGAGCGCGCUACCGCUUGAGCCAUAUCCCCAGCCCCGUAAUUGAAAAUCUUACUGUUUACUUUUGUAUACAUUGGAAUUUCUGGUUUUUGCAUAACCGGGUGCCAUAUAACAUUGGUAUUUGCAUUUUGUUUAAAAUAUAUAUAAUCUUAGUUGCUGAUGGACCUUUAUUUUAAUUACAUAUGGUAUUAAGAAUCAAAUCCAGUGACUCACACAUGCCAGGCAAGCACUCUAUCACUGAGCCACAACCCCAACCCCUGUUUCAUUCUUAAAACCAGAAAGAGAAAGAAAUGUGGUCAUGACAGCAGAUAAGAUUCCACUAGAAACUACUCAACCUAGCUGGGUGUGAUAGCACAUACCUAUAAUCCCAGCAGCACAGGAGGCUGAGGUAGGAGGAUCAUGGGUUCAAAGCCAGCCUCAGCAAAUUAGGGAGCCUGUAAGCAAUAGUCUCUCAAAAAAAAAAAAAAUAAUAAUAACAAUAAUAAAAAAAUAAACACUGAGCCACAUCCCCAGCCCUAUUUUGUAUUUUAUUUAGAGACAGGGUCUCACUGAGUUGCUUAGUGCCUUGCUUUAGCUGAGGCUGGCUUUGAAGAGAUUCUCCAGUCUCAGCCUCCGGAGCCACUGAGAUUACAGGCGUGCACCACCCUGCCCAGCUUUCAAAAUAAAAUUUUAAAAGGGGAAAGGGGGUUCAAUGUGGCUCAGUGAUUAAGCACCCCUGGUCUCUAUCCCUGGUACCAAAAAAAGAAAAGAAACUACUCAACCUAAUCCCUCUAUUAGGUGGUGUUCUUUUUGCCUCAUACAGGAAGCCAUGGCCACUUUUGUUUUGAUGCUUCUUUUCUUGUUUUGAUGUUCUCUGUUCUCAGCUCUGCCAACUCAAAUUCCAUUCUGCUUUGAUGCUUUGCUUAAAACCUUGUCCCUGAAGCCUUCUGAUGCCAACCCAAGUGUACAAAUUCUUACUUUAGUGUCCUACAUUGUUUUCCAGAUUUUGUUUGUUUGUUUGUUUGUUUUUGUUUCUGUUUUCCAAAUAGGUAAGGGGCUGUGGUGGUUAAGAGCUUAAUCUCUGAGGUCAAAGUCAUCAAGUUUAGAAAUAUAGCUCCAGCAUUUUUGUGCUGUUUGACUCUUUGUAAGCUUCUUAACCUCUCACUUUCCUGAUUGGUAAAAAUGGAGAUAAUAGUACUACCUACCUCAUUGGGGUGUUCUGAGGACUAGAUGGCAGUAAUGGAUAUAAAGGCACUAGGCAGGGUCUCCAGCACACAGCAAGUACUAAGGAAAGAGCAGCUGCUCUUUUUGGUUGUUUGCCAGCAAACACCUACAGUUAGUACUGCUCAAGGUCAGGAGGUAUCCUUUUGUUUUUGUUUUGUUUUGUUUUUAAACAUUACCUAGACAGUGGACUUACCAUGGUCAUAAGCCAAAUUCAACAGAAGGAAAGAUGAAGGGAGAUAACUAAGAUUCUAGCAUACCAAAUAUAUGCAUUGAAACAGAAACUGUUUACUGAUUUUUUUCCAUAUAUUUUUUUUAAAUACCCAGAUAAUUUAUAGUCUGCAACAAAAAAUUUAAGUUUAGCUGUGAUUUUGGUGCCCUUCAAAGUCUGAAAAUAUAAGGGGUACAGGAAGUACAUACAGAAUACACAAAAGAAGAAUAUUAUGACCACUUAACUCCUUUCGUUAACCAUUCUGUACAGAGAAAUGCAUUUAAAUCUCAAUAUCCUAAAUAUUGAAAAUGAAAGACAUCUGACAAUAAGGCAUAAAAGAAUUAUGAAAUAUCUUUUAAAAAAAGUGGUACCACAAAGGGAACAAUAAAAGUUUUAUACUUGUCUAAUAUUUUCAGUUGUGUUAUAGGGCAGCUAUUCAUUUAUUGUUUUAAAAUGCACAUUCAGUAUUAGUGUAGGUGUAGAUCAGAAACCCUGAAUCCCAGGGCUAAUAUUUACUUGAAAACUGGGGCAGGCUCCCUGGCCUCUCAAACCUCAAUGCCCUCAUUCUUAACACAGACUGUUUGAAUAAGGUGAUUUUAGGACCCUAUAUGAUAUACUAGCUCAUUCAUAACAGCUACUCCAUAACUGUCAAUUUCUAUUUAUUUUCUCUCCACUGAAUUCAUAGAAAGUAGAUCAAAGUAGAUUUUAAUUUGAAAACUGAGAAAAGUCGGGUAGCUAACUGUAAAAUCAAAAAAAAAUUUUAAGUACUUGAAAUUGAACUCCUGGAGUGCUCUACCAAUGAACUACAUCAUCCCCAGCCCUUUUUAUUUUUUAUUUUGAGACUGAGUCUCAGUUAAUUGCUGAGUCUGGCCUUAAACUUGUGAUCCUUCAGCCUCAGCCUCCUAAGUAAUGGGAUUGUAGGCAUCCACUGCCUCACCUGGGUCUUGGAUCAGUUUCUAAAGUAUUUAAAAGGAAUUAUAUAGUUAAUUAGAAUCCUAUUACAUAUUUACUACUUGCGUGAUUUUUCCUUUUGAUUAAAGUUAAUGCUCUUCAGUAAAUUAAAGUUUAGUUUUUAAGAAUAAUUUUAAAUAUGAUUGAGGGCUGGGGAAGUAGUUCAGGUACUUGCCUAGCAUGCAUGAAGUCCAGGCUCUGAGUGUUUCCCAGCACUUAAAAAAAUAGAAAUUAAAAAUAUAUGGAUAUAUGUAAUUGAACUUUUAUUUUCACAUAAGAACAGACUCAGUCAACAUAAAACUACAAGCAUUUGUUCAUUCUUCCAGGUACCAGACACUGCUAGGCAUUUCCCUAGCACCUGGCUGUAACCAAACAAACAAACAAACAGGGUUCUUAUUCAGGGGUACUAGGUAAUACUGUGGCAAGAGAUCUUACCUUAAUUCUGCCAUAGAUGUUAGAAAAUGUGGGAAUUUAAGCAUCAGCUUAGCAGAUUAUGAAGGAGAAUGAUAGCCAGCUCAGUGGUGAAUGCCUGUAAUCCUAACAACUCUGGAGGCUGAGUUAGGAGGAUCACGAGUUCAAAGCCAGCCUCAACAAGUUAGCAAGGCACUUAGCAACUCGGCAAGACCCUAUCUCUAAAUAAAAAUAUAAAAAAGGGCUGGGGAUAUGACUCAGUGGUUAAGCACUCUUGGGUUCAAUACCUGGUAUAAAAAAAAAAAAAAGAUAAAAUUUGGGAGAGUUGGAUAUAGUGGUGCAUCAUUGUAAUUCCAACUACUCUGGAGGUUGAGGCAGAAAGGUCAAAAGUUUGAAACCAUCCUGGGCAACUUAGACCCUAUCUCAACAUAAAAAAGGCUGGGUAUGUAGCUUGGUGAUAGAGUGCCCUGGGUUCAAUCUCUUGUACUACAUACACAUACCUCCACAAGAAAGGAAAGGAGAAUGAUAGAAAAUAUCCAAAGUCAUUGUAAUUGAAGUGUUAACACAGAAUAUGUGCCUUUGUGUAUACACUGAGGUGGAACCCAGGGAUGCUUUAUCACUGAGUCAUAUACCCAGUCCUUUUUAUUUUUUAUUUUCAGACAACCCUUGAACUUGUGACCCUCCUGCCUCCAUUUCUUGAGUUGCUGGCAUAAAAAAUGUGCACCAUCAGGCCCAGGUAUAUUUUCAUUCAGGGUUGGGACAAAAAGUUAAAAAGCUGCUUCUACAUAAGGAUGAAAUUUGUAGCAGCUUCAGUAUUUAAUAGUGAACAAUACAGGCAGUCUCUGGUCUCCUUGACUUUACAGUCUAGGAAAUUGGCCUGGUGUAAGUCUAAAGGAAUGGUAGAACCUGAGAAGAACUUGAGACCACUGGGUUAAAAAUAUUGUUUCUUAGCUGGGUGCAGUGGUAUGUGCCUAUAAUUCCAGUGACUGAGGAAGCUAAGAUGGGAGGAUUGCAAGUUCCAGUCAGCACCAGCAACUUAGGAAGACCCUGUCUCAAAAUAAUAAGAAUAAUAAUAAAAAAAAUAGGGCUGAGGAAUGUGGCUCAGUGGUAAAGCACCCCUGGGUUAAGUCCUUGUACCAAAAUAAAAUUUAAAUUUUUUUCUUCUUUAUUUUUUAACAACUACUAGCCAAGCUAAACAUGUCUGUGGGAAAUUAGCUGGCUAGAAUAUGUGACCCUGGCUAGGGUAGCUCAUCAAAAUAAAGCUUGUCUAUGCAAUUUAGGUCACUCUACCUCAGAGACACAAAGGAGCCAGAGAAGAUCUAUAUAGAACCAUUGUGUGGUCAAAAGAAUGAAAGAAAAUCUGGAAAUACUAGGACUUCUGUGCAUGAAAAAAGAAACUGAAGGGGGUUGUGAUUAAAGUCAGUGAAGGACGUAGACCAACUGAACAUUAAAUUGUUUACCUAUAAGUGAAAGACAACUUUUGAAUCUCAAGAGAAGUAUUUCUUUUGAAAGAGUUUUCACAUAGCAAAUUCUGACCAUAUAGAGCUUAUUUUUUAAAUUGUCAAAGAUGGAAUUUGUUUCAAAGGUUAAUUUUUUAAAAAAUUUUUAUAAUAUGGGGGGAUAGUAGAGGAUAAGAAAGGCAGCAGAAUACAACAGACACUAGUAUGGCAGUAUGUAAAAACGUGGAUGUGUAACCCAUGUGAUUCUGCAAUCUGUAUACGGGGUAAAAAUGGGAGUUCAUAACCCACUUGAAUCAAAUGUAUGAAAUAUGAUAUGUCAAGAGCUUUGUAAUGUUUUGAACAACUAAUAAUAAAUAAAUCUGUAAGGCAAAUAUAAAUAAAUAAAUAAAUAAAUAAAAUAAUUUUUAUAAUGAAAUAGUUUAUUAGGCACAGAGGGUGACUGGUAGGCAAAGUUAGUAGUACCCCAGGGGGAGGUGAGGCACAGGAGCCUUCGUUUUCCCUGCUGUCACCCUUCAAGGCUGCAUGCAGAGCCCCAUCCAUCCAGAUGACCUCUCCUUUGAGGAACAGGUUCUUGAUUAUGGUCUGGACCAGGUGAGCGUACUCAGCAGGGUCACCCAGUUGGCUGAGGAAGGGUACCUGACUGGCCAGGAAGUUGGACACCUUCUCUGGAAGCCUAGUCAGCAAUGGGGUGCCAAACAGACCUGACCUGGAGCAAUGGCCAAACCCAGAUGCCUUUUGGAGCCAGAUCCCAAGCAAUGGGCAAUGUCAUGCCAACUAUGCCCCCUGUGGAAGCAAAAUACGCAGCUUGUCCUGCCUAGCCCUCAAAGGCAGCCACAUUGGCAGUGUUGAUGAUAACCCCACAUUGAUCUCCCUGGUCUGGUUCUUUCUCGCUCAUCUCACCAGCAACCAGGUGGAUCAUUGAAGGUACCCAUAAGCUUCACAUUGAAAACCUACUGGAACUCCUCCAAGGAAUGGGCCUGGUUCUUCUCUAAGUUGUAUGUCUUUAAGUUUUAUGUCUUAUUGGCCAUUGCAAUACCUGCACAGUGGACAGCCACAUCCACACAGCCAAACUUCUCCUUUGCUAGUCAGGGCUGAUUGAACAUCCUUCUUAGAGGUCAUAUCGAUUGGGGCACACAUGCGUCUCUUUCCUAACUUCUUGGUUUGGGCAUCACCACCUGAGUCAGGCAUGUCCAGAAGCACAGCAGUAGUCCUGUGCUUCAUCAGUCAUUCUGCAAUGGCCAGACCAAGACCGGAGGCUACUCCAGUUAUUACUGCUACCAGGCCCUUCAUGUUCCAACAUGCCACAGCCAUCUUGCACCAGCCUCACUAUUGAAGAACUCAAAGGUUAACUUUUUAACAGUUGACUUGGUGGUGUACACCUGUAAUCCCAGGGACCCUGGAGGCUAAGGCAGGAGGAUCACAAGUUUGAGGCCAGUCUGAGCAACUUCGGGAGAACUAUUUCAAAAUAAAAAAUGACUGGUAAUAUUUAAAAAUUUUAAAAUGACUUAGUGGCACAGUGUACCUGGAUUAAAUCCACAGUAUCUAAAUAAAUAAAUAAAUAAAUGAAAGGCUCAGAUCAAACCAUGCGUGUUUUUUUGUUUUUUUGGGUUUUUUUUUUUGGUAGUGGAGAUUGAACUCAGGGCCACUUAACCACUGAAACAUAACCCUUGCCCUUUUUUUGUAUUUUAUUUAGACACAGGGUAUCACUGAGAUGUUUAUGGCUUUGCUGAGGCUGGCUUUGAACUCCUAAUCCUGCCACUGAGAUUAUAGGCCCAGUGCAUGCAGUCUUCAGUGGUGAAAUAUUUAUUGGGUACUACACAGUUGUGCUCAGGGAAUUUAUAAUCUAGUUGCAAAGAGAAGAACCAGGAAGAAUGAACAAAAUAAGCAAGGGUUCCUGGCCACAGCGAGGGUGAGGAGAGAAGGGCUCCUUGGACUGCUGGAGAAGGCUAGGCGCUACUAAACUGGGCUUUAGGCCCAAUUCAGGAACUGAGUACAGUGGGGUGCUCCCAGAACUCUGGGCCUCAUUCACUCCUGUAUGCAUUAAAUCAGAUACCCCAAAAUCCCUAACAUAGUCCAGAUACAUGGAAGACCAGAGAUCAGUUUGUUAAAAUGGAGAGAAUUUUUAUUGAUGUUGGAUAGAGGAAAUGGCAUGAUCCAAAGCAGGAGUGAGCAGGUAUUCUCCACAGUGGAAUAGGUGUGCACUGGGAAAUGUAGUAGACAAAGUAGCGUAGGGCCCAGUUAAGAGGAUUUUGAGGGGCUGAGGUUGUGCCUCAUCAGUAGAGCACUCACCUAACACAUGCGAGGCCCUGGGUUCGAUCCUCAGCACCACAUAAAAAUAAAUAAAUAAAGGCAUUGUGUCUAACUACACCUAAAAAAUAAAUAUUAAAAAAGAGGACUUUGAAAGCCAAGCAGAAAAGUUCAAACAGAUAUAACAUGCAACAAAGAACCAUAAUUUUUACUUACUUUAAGGAUUUUCUGCUGUUCAAAUAUUCAAGAAGUACCUAUAAAUCAUCUACAGUGUACAAGUAGUAGGAUAUUGGUGAAAAAUACAGCUCCUGCCCUCACAUGGAUGAAGUCAGACAAGAAAGGAAACAAUUAUUAUUUUAGGGAUGUUUUAUUCUUAUAUAGAUCCUAAUUUUAUAUUUAUUUAUUUAUUUGUUGUUAUUUUGGUGCCAGAGAUUAAACACAUGCCAACCAUAUGCCCUACCACUGAGCUACAACCCUAGUCUCAUGACCUGCUUUAAAAAUACAAGCUUCUACUGGGUGCUGUGGUGCAUACCUAUAAUCCCAGUGACUUGGAAAGCUGAGGCUAGAGGAUUGCAAGUUCCAGGCCAACUGAGCAACUUGUAGCUCAGUGGUAGAGCAUCCCUGGGUUCAAUCCCCUGUACCACACAAAAUAAUAAUAAUAAUAAUAUUUCUUAAAGAGAUAGAUGUUCCAGGAGGGCUAGAACUUUUGUUUUUGUCUAUUUUAUUCACUUAGCAUCAGAAACAGGAUUUUAUGUAUUUAUGGUUUUACAUGUUGAGCACAAAGUAUGCAUCAGAAAUUUUUUUGAAUUAAUGAUAGUAUUUGAGAUUUUGAAUUCUUAAAAAGUAUAAUCCCUUUUUUAAGAUAGGUUAAAUGAGAAGAGCUCUGAGAGAGUAAGUGUAGACUUUCUAUUAAUUUCACUAAAAAAGUUCAUCUAUAGCUCAUUGGCAACAGACUUACCUGGCAUAUACAAGGUUCCUAUAUG